RNA transcript from Ictidomys tridecemlineatus (thirteen-lined ground squirrel), 3386 nucleotides. RefSeq lists it as uncharacterized. Lineage: Eukaryota; Metazoa; Chordata; Mammalia; Rodentia; Sciuridae. The record is from RefSeq and is a predicted model, not a curated record.
CACAGCAACACGCCACCAGAGAGGGAUGCGGCCUCCCGCUGCCGCGCCGAGCAGCCAACCAGCACGGCCCAAACAUAGAUUUUACAGAGCGAUCCAUACCCUUACCCUGAAACGAUCCAGGAAUGGCCGUGCCCAGGAGCUGCUCCGGGGGUGCCUGCCGUGGCCACCUGGGAUGGGCCACGUGCGGAGCUCCGCUUAAUCUGUGUCUACUUGCCAGUGUACUUUUGCAAAACAUGAACAUAGUGGGACUCCGACUUCUUUAAAAAUGGCCGUCAGUCCCUCUGCCAGCUAACUCGUGAUCUGCAUGGAAGGAUUUGACUUGGGCUCGGCAGGAAGGUGCAAAGCGGCCAUAGGGGCCCAGUGGGGUCUUCUCUGUCUGGAAAGUGAUCGCGGUAGAGUGUCUCACCACCCCCAGUGGCACGCACAGCGGGACAGGGUGGGUGUCAGGCCGGGGUGGGCUUGAGCACGGCCCAGGAGGCAGAGUCCCGGGACCCCUCUCCCGGUCACUCUCGACUGGCCAGCUCGGCUGGCCUCAGGCAGCCUCACCGGGACAGUCCUCUACGCUCCUCAGUCACAGGCAGACCUUCCAAAAUAGCUGCGCAGCGCCCCUGCCGUGGAUGGCACAGACGGGCAGCCAGGGGGAGUGACAAGGGGGCAUCCCAGACCCCAGACGCAGCGUCCAAUACCUGGACGGUUCAGAGCGUCAUGUACUGAGCACACUCACCGCCCCAACCGGUCGAUCUCCCCAAGAUCACCGUGUGGAGGGCAGCAGCUCUUAUCUGCCCUCCGCAGAGCCGGAAAGUGACCCUCCAAGCAGCUGCCGCCCCCAGGCCUGACUCUUUCGUCCUCGCCGGCAAGGAGCUGACUCCAAACACAGCCUGCAGACCCUUCAGAAGAGGAGGAAGGAUCAAGAUUCUCGCCAAGCCAGAAGGGACAGCGCCAUGAGCUUUGGCGGGACCAGGAAGAAAUGCUCAUUUGAAAACAUGCCUGACUCUCUGUGGAUGUGAGGAACCAGAACGCGGAGGGACAGCUUGCUGGUGGGGGUGCCAGCCUGGCUGUGAGCAGCAGCACCCGGAGCCCUGCCCCCCCUUGCUGGCGCUCCCCCCCCAGACCCAGCCAGUGCCCGGGUCCCUGCCUCCCCUCCGCCCCUCCCCGCCCCCUGUGACUCGGCCUCAGCACCCCACUGUCGUCCCAGGGUGCACGCCGCCCCAGCUCGGCCACCCUCGGGGGCGGAGGGAAGCCCGUGCAGGUGGCACGCUGACCUUUCCACGCAGGACUGAGUCCUCCUUCAGGCCCAGCAGGUCCUGAAGGUCUUGAAGGUCCCCCGGGUGUGCUGGGACACCUGCACCUAAGCACACGGCCCUUCCUCCUGCCCCCGACACUGCAUGUGCCCCCAGUCACCCAGAUUCCCACUCGCACACCUUCCCCUGAGCCAUGCUAGUGCGUUCCCUCCACGGCACCCACUGAUGAGGAGGGACGAUGGUCAGGGGGUGACCUGCUGCCCAGGAAAGCAGCAAGUGCCCUCCCGGGUGUGGUGCAGCUCUGCAGACCCCCGCCCUCCACAACCCACCCCUCUGCUGCCAUGGUGUCUGGGAACCGCCCCUCACCCACCGCUGCCCCCAACCCUGCCAGCGCUCCCGCUGGGACACUCGGGGUCCCCCCACCCAGACGCCCCCCACCCAGUCCUGCUCAGAGCUGUGCCUGAAAAGGCCCUGGCCCCGUGCGGCCGGCCCUGCCGUGCGGAGAGUGUCACCACCCGAGGACAGACAGGUCUGACCCCAGCCAGGCCCCCCUGGAGGCCACCUCUCCGUCUUCAGCGCCCGUUCUCCCUCCCUCCCUGCUGAAAGGUCUUGACAGGUGAAGGUGACCCUGCAGUCCAAGCACAGGUGGUGGUUGCCAUAGUGACAGCCAUUGUCCAGGCUGUCUGCUGUCAGAGAGCCUCCACGCCCCUGCCUGCCCUGGGCCCUCGUGGUGACUUCUGUCCUUCCUGGACGCCUCUGGUGCCUGUCCACUUAAGAGGUCCGUGGCGAUUCCACCUCAUGGCUCAGUGGGGGUGGGGUACAGGGGGGAUUGCAGUGACACUGCAGGGUGGAGGGGUGCAGCUGCCUUUCCCCGUCACUGGCUGGUGACCAGUGUCCCCGUCACCCGGCGGGAGCAGGAACAGCCCACUCCUCACCUCGGCUGCCCAGUGCGGGCUCUGGUCUCCCACUGGGAAAGGACCACAGCUGCCUGUGGAACUGUGGCCAGGUCUCUGUGGAGAAGGGAGACAACGAGGGCUAAAAGGACGGCUAGACAGACCAACCAAUUAGUUCAGAAAGCCAUUUCAAAGCAGAGGUAGCCAUCUCAGGCGUGCCCAGAGUCCAAAACCAGCAACAAACCCCAAAUCCUGAGACGACGGGAAAAAAUAAGGUCGAUUUCAUAGCAACUGACUUCUAUACAAUACCCAGGACAGGAAGGGGCAGCCCUAUAGAUCUGGUCCAGAGGCUCCCUACCACUGUGACUGGUCAGGGCUGGGGACAGACCAGCCAUCCCCAGCUGCUGCCGGGAGCUGCUGACUCUCACAGCAGGAGGAGCCUCAGCCUGACCCCCAAGGCUCACCUCAGCCUUCUCUGCAGCGGCCAGUCUGCCCCUGCUCCAGGUCAGAGGCUCCCUGACCUGGGACUCCCUGACCAGCCAUCACUGCCAUGUCCAGACUCAGGACUGGACUCACUGCUGCCCCAGCCAGUGCAGCCCUGGGCAGUCUGUGCCUUCCCGGCUGCCCGCCCCACUCCCAGACGACCUGGUCUUCCUGGCUUGUGCUUCCUGGGGAGUCCUGGCCUCCCAAUCCUCAAGCAGUCAGAGAUUUGUAGGAUCAGGAGUGACUCCUCAUGAGACUAUGUUCUCCCGGGUCACCUUGGGCCAUCCAUCUUCCCACCUGGUACGAGGACAAGAGGAGGCUUGCCCACAUGCCAGGAAGGGGUCUCCUGGAGAGAAGACCUGUCCCAUUCUCCCUGGGUCCUGAGCUCCAGGGGCCCCUGUCAUGAUGUCCCGGACCACUGGGGCCCUGGAAACUCCUACCUAUCCCAACAGGGUAGAAUGCCCUUCCUCCCCUGGACGUCAUCGGGUGGUAGCUGAACAAACCCUGCAGUGUCUCACCUACCAAGGAGGACAGCUUGGCCUCACGCCAGAUUCCACCCAGCUCCACCGCCUCCUGGUGGCGAGCUGGGGAACAUCACUUACCCUGUCGGAGUUUUCCGUUGUCUAAAUGGAAAGUCACCCCCCGGCGGUCAGAGCCGCUGUGCGAACUCACGAGAUACAUUACACAGAGAAUCGGAAACCUCACAGUGAGCACUCAAAGGCGCAUUUCUUUCCCGCCCUCAAUCAUUUGAAUAAACGGGCUCCUCACA